Pangasianodon hypophthalmus (striped catfish) is the source of this 2040-nucleotide long non-coding RNA. RefSeq lists it as uncharacterized. Lineage: Eukaryota; Metazoa; Chordata; Actinopteri; Siluriformes; Pangasiidae. The record is from RefSeq and is a predicted model, not a curated record. The transcript is spliced from 3 exons.
UUUAAAAUAAUUGUAAUUUAGUAUAUUUUCUAAAAAUAUAUUUUACAAAAAUAUACUUGAAUUGAAAGUUUUGUUUAUUUUUUUAAAAGUGUAUUUAUUUGCACUUUAUGUAAAUAUAUUUUAGUAUUAUUUUUAACUGUGUGCUGAAAAUGACCAUUGUAACAAUGCAUUGAAAGUAUACUUUCAAAGUACAUUAUUAAAUAACCUGAAGUUGUAGUAUACUUUAAGUUAAAUUUUGGAGUAAUUUUUAAGUGGACUUCUUUAUGCUUGCAAUUCACUUCAUUACUGCUUUCAGAAAGUAAUAAAACAUAUGAUAAAUGAGUUGAAAGCCCAUUUAAAACAUUUUUAAAUAAAGUGUAUGCACUGCACAAAAGGCUACUCUUGUAAUUGUGAUUUUAGUAUUUUAAUAAAUUUAUACAAUGUCACAGAGAGGUCCAAUGUAUAAACAUCAAUCCAUGACUAAUUUUAUAUCAACAGCACACCAUAUGAACACAAGAAAAUGUGUUCUACAGGAAAAUAACCUUUUAUCGAAUGUGUUUUUGAAAUGUUUCAGAUGAAUUUUGGGCGAAAUGAGCAAUUAAAUUAGCAUUAGCCUAUGCUAUUUUGCUUAGCUCGCUAUCAGUGCUGUGGCUGAACAGUUAGCCUACUAAUCCGAUAGACUUAAUAUUGUUUGGGGAGCUUAGUUGGCUUGGUAUUGCUAACUUCAUAGAGCUAGCUAUUUAUAAAGGCAGCGUUGCAGUUUACAGACUUGGUAGUUGAUGUUUAACUGUUUGUGCUCUUGACUGAGGGGAUUUGUGCAUUUUUUAAAGUUGCUAUUCACACUUCUUGUUUUUGACAGCGAGGCCGCGAAUUAGCGAAUUAGUUCUCCACUUAGCUUAGCCUGUUAGCUAGCUAACUGGAGAACUAAUUCGCUAAUUCGCGGGGGGAGAGAGAAGAGAGAGACGUUGCUAAAGUUCGGUGCUGUGCCUAGAAAUGUCCGCGAUGGUGGAAAAGGGUACGACGGAGAUUUCAGGGAAAAGAAGAGGCAGAAACUCGGUGAACAACCCGACAAAAAGUUUUACUUCCAACGGCAACAGUAACAAUUCGACGACAAAGUGACGACAAGCACGUGAAGAGAGGCAGUGACAAAGAGAGAGAGAGAGAGAGAGAUAAGAGGACAGAGAGAGAAGUGAAGAAAGAGGAGUGCUACUUUCCACAGCUCUCUGAUAUUCCCAAAUAACAAAUGCCUGAUCCAUCCUGAUGCCCUACUUCUGGUUGGAGUUCUCAUCAGUUGAAGAUUGCUCGCUGCUGCUGGGGGUGGCCCCACAUGGACGGCCUGAAGAUCGUUGGGGUUGCUGGGAAAGGUGCCACUUGGGGAUCGUGGAGAUGGCUUUGGACUGCGGUUGAUAUGGGCAGUUGUACUGUGAUGGCUUGGGGCUGCGGUUUCCGCAAGCAGUUUUGCACUCAGAUCUCCAUCAGUGGACAGUGGAUAGGUUCAACCACAGGGACUUUGUGUGAAAACUGUAAUGAAUUUCCUGGUUACACAAAUGCAUUAUUUGUCCAUGUAGUACACAGUUAUAGAGGGGAUUUAUUUAUAAUCACAUUAUCCGUUGUCACCCAGAUGAGGAUGGGUUCCCUUCUGAGUCCUGUUUCUCUCAAAGUUUCUUCCUCAUAUUGUCUCAGGGAGUUUUUCCUUGCCAUUGUCGCCUCUGGCUUGAUCAUUGUGGAUAAAUUCAUACAUUUACAAUUUAUAUCCUGAAUGUAUUUGUUUCUGUAAAGCUGCUUUGUGACAAUGUCUGUUGUUAAAAGCAUUAUACAAAUAAAAUUGAAUUGAAUUAAGCAGCAUAAAUUGGAUACAGUAUAUUGUUUGGAUUGUUAUUUUGAAGCAAAUUUGAUUUUUUUUUUUGCUCAAGAUACACAGAUAUCUUGAAUCCCUUCAUAUAUUUUUAUGUAUAUAUUUUUCUUUAUAUUUAAUAUUUUUCUAUUUUUUCUUAUUUUAUCUCACUGCAAGUCAUACUGUGUAUGGUUAUGCAUGUGACAAAUAAAAUUUGAAUUUGAAUU